AGAAAGGGACGGCUAACUACGUGCCAGCAGCCGCGGUAAUACGUAGGUCCCGAGCGUUGUCCGGAUUUAUUGGGCGUAAAGCGAGCGCAGGCGGUUUGAUAAGUCUGAAGUUAAAGGCUGUGGCUCAACCAUAGUUCGCUUUGGAAACUGUCAAACUUGAGUGCAGAUGGGGAGAGUGGAAUUCCAUGUGUAGCGGUGAAAUGCGUAGAUAUAUGGAGGAACACCGGUGGCGAAAGCGGCUCUCUGGUCUGUAACUGACGCUGAGGCUCGAAAGCGUGGGGAGCGAACAGGAUUAGAUACCCUGGUAGUCCACGCCGUAAACGAUGAGUGCUAGGUGUUGGAUCCUUUCCGGGAUUCAGUGCCGCAGCUAACGCAUUAAGCACUCCGCCUGGGGAGUACGACCGCAAGGUUGAAACUCAAAGGAAUUGACGGGGGCCCGCACAAGCGGUGGAGCAAGUGGUUUAAUUCGAAGCAACGCGAAGAACCUUACCAGGUCUUGACAUCCCGAUGCUAUUUCUAGAGAUAGAAAGUUACUUCGGUACAUCGGUGACAGGUGGUGCAUGGUUGUCGUCAGCUCGUGUCGUGAGAUGUUGGGUUAAGUCCCGCAACGAGCGCAACCCCUAUUGUUAGUUGCCAUCAUUCAGUUGGGCACUCUAGCGAGACUGCCGGUAAUAAACCGGAGGAAGGUGGGGAUGACGUCAAAUCAUCAUGCCCCUUAUGACCUGGGCUACACACGUGCUACAGUGGUUGGUACAACGAGUUGCGAGUCGGUGACGGCGAGCUAAUCUCUUAAAGCCAAUCUCAGUUCGGAUUGUAGGCUGCAACUCGCCUACAUGAAGUCGGAAUCGCUAGUAAUCGCGGAUCAGCACGCCGCGGUGAAUACGUUCCCGGGCCUUGUACACACCGCCCGUCACACCACGAGAGUUUGUAACACCCGAAGUCGGUGAGGUAACCUUUUGGAGCCAGCCGCCUAAGGUGGGACAGAUGAUUGGGGUGAAGUCGUAACAAGGUAGCCGUAUCGGAAGGUGCGGCUGGAUCACCUCCUUUCUA
Molecule: ribosomal RNA, 1050 nt
Filed under: uncultured bacterium
Lineage: Bacteria
Description: bacterial SSU rRNA
Rfam family: Bacterial small subunit ribosomal RNA
Source: RNAcentral